CCUACGGGUGGCAGCAGUGGGGAAUAUUGCACAAUGGGGGAAACCCUGAUGCAGCGACGCCGCGUGAGUGAAGAAGUCAUUCGUUAUGGAAAGCUCUAUCAGCAGGGAAGAAAAUGACGGUACCUGAGUAAGAAGCCGCGGCUAACUACGUGCCAGCAGCCGCGGUAAUACGGAGGGUGCAAGCGUUAUCCGGAUUUACUGGGUGUAAAGGGAGCGUAGACGGCAGUGCAAGUCUGGAGUGAAAGGCGGGGGCCCAACCCCCGGACUGCUCUGGAAACUGUAAGGCUGGAGUGCAGGAGAGGUAAGUGGAAUGCCUAGUGUAGCGGUGAAAUGCGUAGAUAUUAGGAGGAACACCAGUGGCGAAGGCGGCUUACUGGACUGUAACUGACGUUGAGGCUCGAAAGCGUGGGGAGCAAACAGGAUUAGAUACCCGAGUAGUC
RNAcentral lists this ribosomal RNA (440 nucleotides) under uncultured bacterium. RNAcentral's name for it is "partial 16S ribosomal RNA". It matches the Rfam family "Bacterial small subunit ribosomal RNA", at positions 338 to 795 of the family's 1533-position model. The record is from RNAcentral.